This 694-nucleotide ribosomal RNA is filed under the name uncultured bacterium. Its description in RNAcentral is "bacterial SSU rRNA". It matches the Rfam family "Bacterial small subunit ribosomal RNA", at positions 32 to 715 of the family's 1533-position model. The record is from RNAcentral.
AACGCUAGCUACAGGCUUAACACAUGCAAGUCGAGGGGCAGCAUGGUCUUAGCUUGCUAAGGCCGAUGGCGACCGGCGCACGGGUGAGUAACACGUAUCCCACCUGCCGUCUACUCUUGGACAGCCUUCUGAAAGGAAGAUUAAUACAAGAUGGCAUCAUGAGUCCGCAUGUUCACAUGAUUAAAGGUAUUCCGGUAGACGAUGGGGAUGCGUUCCAUUAGAUAGUAGGCGGGGUAACGGCCCACCUAGUCUUCGAUGGAUAGGGGUUCUGAGAGGAAGGUCCCCCACAUUGGAACUGAGACACGGUCCAAACUCCUACGGGAGGCAGCAGUGAGGAAUAUUGGUCAAUGGGCGCAGGCCUGAACCAGCCAAGUAGCGUGAAGGAUGACUGCCCUAUGGGUUGUAAACUUCUUUUAUAAAGGAAUAAAGUCGGGUAUGUAUACCCGUUUGCAUGUACUUUAUGAAUAAGGAUCGGCUAACUCCGUGCCAGCAGCCGCGGUAAUACGGAGGAUCCGAGCGUUAUCCGGAUUUAUUGGGUUUAAAGGGAGCGUAGAUGGAUGUUUAAGUCAGUUGUGAAAGUUUGCGGCUCAACCGUAAAAUUGCAGUUGAUACUGGAUAUCUUGAGUGCAGUUGAGGCAGGCGGAAUUCGUGGUGUAGCGGUGAAAUGCUUAGAUAUCACGAAGAACUCCGAUUG